Molecule: long non-coding RNA, 4581 nt
Organism: Lagopus muta (rock ptarmigan)
Lineage: Eukaryota; Metazoa; Chordata; Aves; Galliformes; Phasianidae
Exons: 4
Source: RefSeq, a predicted model, not a curated record
GAGCCGGAUCCUGGAAGACCUCAUUUAAGGGUUGGCAGUGAGGUAAGAGUGUUUUGCUGAAGAUCUCUUUGUACCUGAGGCAUUCUGAAGGUUUGAUUAGAAGCCUGCUAUAUUGUGGGGAGAACAAUUGGGAUGAAGUGUAUGGUUAUUACAACUAACCACAGGGGAAAAUCCUGUUCCUGAUAUGAUCUUUGAAGGGAAGGUCUACAAUCUGCUAAGAAGACAUUCAACAUUCAGCUUCCAUUUUGAAAGGAGGAACCAAAAAGAACGCCAACAGAACAAAAGCUCAAAAUGAGCCACCUUCACCCAUGUCUAGCAGGGGCUGCUGUUACUUCCAGAGAUGACUGAUUUAUGUUUGGGAUUUUCAGCUUUUCUGAUGAUUUUCUCUGUUGGCUAACCUAUGGCCACUUCCCUGCUUCCAGCAACUACAGAGUCAUUUAAAAUAUGCUUCUUUCCUGUGCAAGUAUGCAGUCAUGUUAUGAAGUAGAAAAUGAAGAAAAAGUCUGCAUUUAUGAAAAAUGAACUUGUAAGUAAGGAGUUUGUUCUCUGGAGUCAUAUUGGGAAAAUCACUGCCACAAACUUGGCUAAUAUUACAGAAAGAGGAGAAAAUGACGGAAUGGAAGCUAAGCAGUAUGAUCAAAAGGAGCACUGAGUCGGUUGGGAAGAGUAUCUGGUCAGCUUACCAGCUGAGGCACACAUCUGCUCCUUUGAUGAUGUUUCAAGCCACUGCUGCAGCAGAAGUUUGACAGCUUGCAAGGAAGCUGGUCAGAGAAGAAUUAAGAAGCUGUAACAGCUGUCUUAAUAGAGUCAGGUCUGUGGCUACCUGCCUUUCCUCAAGAUGAGGUGAUCUAAAAAUAGUUAAAAAAUAAAUAGGGUGAGGAGACUGUAUUUUAAGCAGUUUCAUCUGCAAAUCCUGAGUGAUUCUGCUGACAUCCAAUUAUACAAAUGUAAUGGAGAUCAUCAUCUAGGCCUUGAUUUGAAAAUGACAUUUCACUGCUUUGGCAGCUCUAAAAAUACUGACAUUUCUAGUAGCUGGAGGCCAUAAAAAUAUUGAUUCAGCAACAGAAUUGUUUUGUAAAGCAGUGAUAGUUGGCUGGCUUCUGAACUGUAGUGUGUUGCUCCAGGCUCUACAGUAUAUUGCUAACAAGGAAGGAGUAGGGCCAUUGAAAGCCAAACAUGUGUUAGUGGGGGAUAUUGCUGAAGGAAUCAAAUGUCAUAUACCACUUGCUAAGUGUUGUUGCAGCUUUCAGACUACACACCCCAUUGUUAGGUAACCUGGCAAAAAAUCUGCUUUGGUAAUACUGGAUUUGUGCUGUAGCUUAAGCUAAUACCAGUCAGAGGAGAGGAUUCCAGAUCCUUCUUCCUAUGGGGACUUAUUGAUUGAGCAUCUGUUCCCUGUAAGAACUAUUUACUGAAUGUUAAAAUAUGAAAUCCACGGUAUUUGGAGAAAUUAAAAUAAUAAAAUAUCACUGGACAGAAUGAGCUUGCCUCUCACUGUCAAAAUGGGCAUGAAUCUGAGCCGUAAAAAACAAAGUAGAAGCACUUAUUGUUAUUUACACUAUGUGGGCCAUGUAGUUAUCUUUUCAUUAGGAGAACAGUGGGGGAAAAAACCUUAGGAAAAAUGUACUUCAUUAAUAGAGGCUUUUCAGAAAGAGCUUAUUCAACAACCCCUGCCAUGCUCCAGCAAAUACUGAAAUAGAUCACUGCAGUACAAGAAGUGUAUUUGGGGAACUGACAUGCCUUAGAGUCUGAGCUGGGCUGCCUCUAUUAAUUCUGCAUAUAUAACCUCUAAAACAGGCAAGUUUUGCUACUGUCUUGACGUUCAAAGAAAUUAGGGAGCGUUGAGAGUGAGGAAGGAAUCCCUUUUCUCUGCUGUAAUUGUGCUGUUCUAACUAAAAAUUACAUGUGCUAUUGACAUUUGGUGUAUGUAUGAUAGACUCUUUGCAUUUACUGUUCAAGAAAAUAUUUUGUCUUAAGCCUCUAUUUUCUUUCUGCUUUCUGCACCACAUUUUGACCGCUUUGUUCCCAUUCAGUCCCUGUGGCAAUGCAUGCUUCAUUAGCAUUCAUUAUCCUCUUGGGGGAUUGCAGUUGUGGGGUUGUUGUUUGGUUUUGGUUGUGCUUUUGUUGUUGUUUUGUAUUUGGAUUCAUGUGUCUGUGAAAAUAGUAACUCUCCAUUUAAUCCAAAGGGACUGGCAUUUGUUUAUUCUGAGGAGGCAAGUUAGAGGUUUAGCAUCUCUUCUACUUCAGUCCUCCUUUCAGGAGCUGUCAAUUUCAGACAAGGGAGAUAGUUCAGAUCCAUGGCAGUGCAAAACUGAUAGAGUGCUUCAAAAAUUGCUGGAAACAUAGGACCAAGUGUAAUGCUGACCAACACAGCUGUGCUGGAGCCUGAUCAGUAAAGCAGCUGUCUGAAUCAAUCAUUUGAAGAUGGGUAUUAAGCAAGUCUCUGCAAGCUGCUCAUCCAAACUUGAGCAUUGAUAAUAUCUGUAGUAUGAGAAGGUUGGAGGUGAGAGAAGGGGAAGGAAGGAAACUUUGAUUCAUUUCCUAUUCCUGUGGUAAUAGCUAAUCUUCCCAGUAUCUGAACAACAUGAUUGCUCCCAUACCUAUAAUUUAAAACUUGAUGAGGCAUCCAUGAAACUGCCUUGCAAGUAGCAGACAAAUCAGAAGUCAAAGCCAAUGAUAUUACUGAUCAUUUCUUUUCCUCCUAGAAGUUACUGUAUUUUGAGGACAAGAUACCUCUGUUGCUGCCAUUAUGGUUACAUAAAAAAAAACUAAUGGUUUUGAUUAAUUCCAUAUUUUAUGUGUUGGGGGUGUGGGGGGGGGAGCAAGAAGUUCUACUCUCUUUGAAACCGAGUAACAUCACACCUUCAAUAAAUAGGUGGUCUGAACUGAGGUUAAGGGAAUCCAUCUGGGCGGCAUCUGAAGCUGUAAAUGACUACAUCGUGCUGACAAAAAAUUUCUUGCAUGUACAUAGGGGGGCAAUUUUAGGAGAUUGUCUAUAAAAUUUUAUGAAGUUAUGCUUAUAGGAUGUUCUAGAAGAAUGUAAUGGGCACAAAUUGCAGAGAAUGCAAUCCACGUGAGGGAAACUAGCAUAUCAAGCAAUUACAGUUUCAUCAGCUAAAAAUUUAAUCUUGCAUCUAGUUAUUGGAAUAAGCACAUGAAAACCAUGAGAAAGAGUUUAGGUCAUAAAAUCUGCUUCUACAUUAACUACAACUAGAACAACAGUUUUCCUUUUUUUCCUUUUUCUAUUUUUCUUUCUUUGUUAUUUUAUGGAGAAAGAAAUCACUGUGAGGUCUGGAAAUCAUUGGAAAACAAUCUGCAAGUUGAAGGCCUUGGUAUCAAAGCUCCUUCUGUCCUUGUGAGCUGAUCCUUUCCAUUAGGUCUCCUCUCAGCUCAUUAAGGACAAACUCUUUAUGAGACUUUGCUUCUCCUUUGUCUUGCAGCAGGUUUAGCUCUUGUCUGUUUGGGGUGAUACAGACUAGUGACGAUUUUAGAAUCAAGAUAGCAAAAGCUGCAAUCUGGAAAGAAAAAGCCAAAUAAUGGACCUCCUUGACCUCUUUGGUUACUUUGGUUACUUGAUUUUUCACACGGUUCUUGUCCUCUCCAGUGCACUAAUCUGUUGGGUGUUUUAACUGCAGAAUAGGCAGUCUGUGUAAGGAAACGUGGAGAGAUCAUGAAGUAUUUUUUCCAUUUCUAUGUACCGAUGAACUUAGUCCAAAUCUGCUAGCGUUCACAUGAAUACCAUAGUUUGGAGUUCAGUUCUGAUUAUUUGUUUGAGAAUAUAUUUAUCUUAUCAGAUCCUUCAGCUCAAAACAUCAGAAUAUGAAACUCGUAGGUGACUAGAGAGCAUAGAAAUCCCAAAGGCUGUGCUCUCCUUUUGGGGGUUGAUUUUCUUUUUGUACUCUGAGGACUGAGGUUAGGCUGGAGUCUUAUACCAUCUUUGACUCUUUUGCAACUGGAAUUGGAAACCCAGCAUUUUUUUCCGUAUGAGAAAUUUUGUUACUGAAGUUUCAAUUGAAACUUUAUAUCAAAAGAGAAGAAAAGCUCUUUCAGAAAAAUAACUGUGUUUUCCCUCAGAUGCAGAGGAAGGGUUCAGAAACAUACCAUGAAAUUGAAAUUUCUCAAAGUGCCUCUUAAAUCUUUGCUGCAAUUACUGUAAUUCACAAUAAUAGAUCCAGUACUAUUUUUAAAAGCUUUUGAAGGUUGCAAGUAGCAUCCAUAAAUUGUGGGUUGUGGGCAAUCUAUGAAACCAUAGGUUUCCAGGGCUUUUAUUUAAAUGAGAGAAUGAGAGAGAAAGAUGUAAUAAAAGUAGUAAAGAAAAAACCUGAAAGUUUUCUUUGUGCUGAACAGUAAUUCUGAGGCAGGAAAUACCUCAGUCUUCACAAAAGUUGUUUUCUUGUUGAACAAGAUUUUGCAAGUCUGGAAUAAGUAUCUUUUAAUGCAGUCGUGUUUUUAUAGAGACUGACUAAAUUUGUAGUUCACUGGUCAUAUCUCCUAAUGAUGAAGAGAAUAUGGAGAGAGAUAUACAAUAGUUGGAGAAACUUGUUCAGUUUUCUCUAAAUUUAUACAUUCUUAAGAUGGGUG